GCCGGCAUUCUUUUCUUUAUCAAUCUAUCACAAUUCACAAAUGCUCCACUAACCAGCCGAGCUACUAGGACAUUAACAAUUGCAAAUGAGUGUAUGAGGAACAAGUUACUUUUUUUCAUAGGCACUCCCUCUAGGUGCCAUAUCUUGCCAGAAUAAAUGUUGAAGACAUACUCUAUUCUAAUACCCUGGACCUGUCACGUCCAAUGCAGGUACUCCGAAAGUCUCACAUGUUCUUAGAGAUACAUGCACUGCCAUAAAAUGACGUCUUUGACAAAGUUUACACUCAUCCAACAUAUAUAUUGCACUAGAUAACCAAUUAAACAUUCUCACUUACAGGAAUUCCCUGAGAAACGGAAU
Molecule: unclassified non-coding RNA, 357 nt
Filed under: Hevea brasiliensis (rubber tree)
Lineage: Eukaryota; Viridiplantae; Streptophyta; Magnoliopsida; Malpighiales; Euphorbiaceae
Source: RNAcentral